GAUGAACGCUGGCGGCGUGCCUAAUACAUGCAAGUCGAGCGAACAGACGAGGAGCUUGCUCCUCUGGCGUUAGCGGCGGACGGGUGAGUAACACGUGGAUAACCUACCUAUAAGACUGGGAUAACUUCGGGAAACCGGCGCUAAUACCGGAUAAUAUAUUGAACCGCAUGGUUCAAUAGUGAAAGACGGUUUUGCUGUCACUUAUAGAUGGAUCCGCGCCGCAUUAGCUAGUUGGUAAGGUAACGGCUUACCAAGGCAACGAUGCGUAGCCGACCUGAGAGGGUGAUCGGCCACACUGGAACUGAGACACGGUCCAGACUCCUACGGGAGGCAGCAGUAGGGAAUCUUCCGCAAUGGGCGAAAGCCUGACGGAGCAACGCCGCGUGAGUGAUGAAGGUCUUCGGAUCGUAAAACUCUGUUAUUAGGGAAGAACAAAUGUGUAAGUAACUAUGCACGUCUUGACGGUACCUAAUCAGAAAGCCACGGCUAACUACGUG
Molecule: ribosomal RNA, 497 nt
Filed under: uncultured bacterium
Lineage: Bacteria
Description: partial 16S ribosomal RNA
Rfam family: Bacterial small subunit ribosomal RNA
Source: RNAcentral